CUGACACCUCUUUUGGAUCAUCUGCCUGGUUUGUAAUUUAGGUUUUGCUUUUUUGAAGCUGCCUCUCAGAUCAUUCUUAGAGCCAUAGUUCACAUCCCAAGAAUGAAGUUCUUGGUGUCAGCAGUAUUUCCACCAUAGAAUUAGCUGCAGAUGAAGAAAAUGGACACCGUGUGUUAUAACCAUGCUCUCAAGCCCACUUUAUAAUAUGUUCCCUGGUGGGUGAAGUUAUUAUCAAGUACGGACCAUCAUGAGUACUUUUCAGUGGAGAACUAUGACUUCAAAAGCACUAUGUUGAAGAGGUACAACUGAAAUAAAAGCUUAAAAGAAGAUGGAGAUUGGAGAUGGAAGUUUAUCUUCAUCUAUGGAACUGGAAAUACACUAGCUUUG
This 387-nucleotide long non-coding RNA is filed under the name Homo sapiens (human). RNAcentral's name for it is "HSALNT0293549". The record is from RNAcentral. Lineage: Eukaryota; Metazoa; Chordata; Mammalia; Primates; Hominidae.